AAAAUUAUCUAAAAAUAAGAGAAACCGAAUCAGUUGUUUAACGAGAAAGCUAGACUAUUGGAAAUUAAUUGGAAAAUGAGUUCGCAAGACUUAUCCGUGCAAUGAAAUGAACAGACCGAGAAAUAUUCCCACCGAUAAAUAAAAAGUUAUCGUACACAACACUCGUGUGGCUGGUGGCCAGUGGGGUCCUCUCUGCUACUGGUGAUGAUGAUUUUAGCACCUUUUAUGAGCAAUUUGAUGUGCCCAAAAUAAAACAAUGUGAACAGAUCACAGGAGAGUUGAGCCGGUGCCACAAUUGUUACAGAUGUGACGCAGAGGAAGUCAAGAAUCGUGUCAUCAGGAAUCUAACUUUCAACGAUCAACAUUGCAACUCUGCUGCAGAAAUAUGCUGUAUACCACAAAGCGACCUGAAGGCUACCAGUGAGAGAGCAAGUAAAAAUUGUGGAGUGACUUAUCGAGAGGGCUUUCCACGCAAGAGGCGACCCAGCUUGAAAUAUGUUCUGCCCGGCCAGUAUCCUUGGAGGGCGUGGAUCUAUGACACAAUACAGGAUUUUAAGCCGCUGUGCGCCGCUACGUUGAUCGACCGCAGCAGCCACGCCCUCGUCACCCUAGCUUCUUGUCUCCAGGGCAGAGACAAAGAUUCAAUUAAAAUUAAAUUCAGCAGAAAUCAAACAGCCUCUGAAGAUGUUGAGGGGAUUUACUUUUCGGGUGGCCUGAAUAAAUUUGACCAUGAAAAUGAGCUGGCCAUCAUCACGACUCGGAAGCUGAGUUCUAAGUGGGUGAGGGAGGCGUGCCUCUGCCCGAACCCGCCACAAAUAUCGAGUAGAUGUGUGAUGGUCUCCGCAGACGAUCACCAGGUAAUUCCAAAUGUGCCCAAACAGGAGCACUGUCUGGAGGAUAGCUCAGCUCCUCCUGCAGGCAUGGGCUGCGUGAUCACCCCGAAGCAAGAAUACGAGCCAGAGCUAGGCGGCGGACUGUUCUGUAUCGAUGAGAGUACCCACAGACAUACAUACAGUGUGAACGGCGUGACGAUCCGCAGGAGCCACGGGAACGUCGUGCUCGUCACCGAGCUGUCACAUUACAUGGACUGGAUUGACAAGAAGCUCAAACAACUAAAUAACAACCGAAAGAAACACAAAACAUAACAUCCUUUGGCUUAACUAAUAAUAUAAUAUAUAUAUA
RNA transcript from Leptidea sinapis, 1182 nucleotides. RefSeq lists it as uncharacterized. Lineage: Eukaryota; Metazoa; Arthropoda; Insecta; Lepidoptera; Pieridae. The transcript has 9 exons. The record is from RefSeq and is a predicted model, not a curated record.